GACGAACGCUGGCGGCGUGCCUAAUACAUGCAAGUAGAACGUACAGUUUAUACCGUAGCUUGCUACACCAUAAACUGUGAGUUGCGAACGGGUGAGUAACGCGUAGGUAACCUGCCUGGUAGCGGGGGAUAACUAUUGGAAACGAUAGCUAAUACCGCAUAAUAUUGAUUAUUGCAUGAUAAUUGAUUGAAAGAUGCUAUUGCAUCACUACCAGAUGGACCUGCGUUGUAUUAGCUAGUAGGUGAGGUAACGGCUCACCUAGGCGACGAUACAUAGCCGACCUGAGAGGGUGAUCGGCCACACUGGGACUGAGACACGGCCCAGACUCCUACGGGAGGCAGCAGUAGGGAAUCUUCGGCAAGGGACGAAAGUCUGACCGAGCAACGCCGCGUGAGUGAAGAAGGUUUUCGGAUCGUAAAGCUCUGUUGUAAGAGAAGAACGGGUGUGAGAGUGGAAAGUUCACACUGUGACGGUAUCUUACCAGAAAGGGACGGCUAACUACGUG
RNAcentral lists this ribosomal RNA (505 nucleotides) under uncultured bacterium. RNAcentral describes it as "partial 16S ribosomal RNA". It matches the Rfam family "Bacterial small subunit ribosomal RNA", at positions 28 to 507 of the family's 1533-position model. The record is from RNAcentral.